AACGAAAGCUGGCGGCAGUCCUAACACAUGCAAGUCGAGCGAGAUCUUCGGGUCUAGCGGCACGGGUGAGUAACGCGCGGGAAUAUGCCUCUUGGUACGGAAUCGCCUCGGGAAACUGGGAGUAAUACCGUAUGUGCCCUUUGGGGGAAAGAUUUAUCGCCAAGAGAUUAGCCCGCGUUGGAUUAGGUAGUUGGUGGGGUAAUGGCCUAGCAAGCCGACGCUCCAUAGCUGGUUUGAGAGGAUGAUCAGCCACACUGGGACUGAGACACGGCCCAGACUCCUACGGGGGGCAGCAGUGGGGAAACUUAGACAAUGGGGGCAACCCUGAUCUAGCCAUGGCGCGUGAGUGAUGAAGGCCUUAGGGUUGUAAAGCUCUUUCAGCUGGGAAGAUAGUGACGGUACCAGCAGAAGAAGCCCCGGCUAACUCCGUGCCAGCAGCCGCGGUAA
This 447-nucleotide ribosomal RNA is filed under the name uncultured bacterium. RNAcentral describes it as "partial 16S ribosomal RNA". It matches the Rfam family "Bacterial small subunit ribosomal RNA", at positions 29 to 523 of the family's 1533-position model. The record is from RNAcentral.